GCCUGAGUUGCGCAUAUUUUUUAUAUAAUAAUCAUGUAGUUGUACGUUACAUCAUAUGACGCAGGGGACUCAAAAUCCCCCGCCGCAAGGCGUGCCGGUUCGAUUCCGGCCCUGGGCACCA
Molecule: transfer RNA, 121 nt
Filed under: Paraburkholderia podalyriae
Lineage: Bacteria; Pseudomonadati; Pseudomonadota; Betaproteobacteria; Burkholderiales; Burkholderiaceae
Also listed under: 1 other name
Description: Paraburkholderia sp. WC7.3b tRNA-Leu
Source: RNAcentral